Molecule: transfer RNA, 530 nt
Filed under: uncultured Prochlorococcus sp.
Lineage: Bacteria; Bacillati; Cyanobacteriota; Cyanophyceae; Synechococcales; Prochlorococcaceae
Description: partial 16S-23S ribosomal RNA intergenic spacer
Rfam family: tRNA (bases 213-285)
Source: RNAcentral
CAGGGAGACAACAAAAUGUUUAAUAUUAUUAUUUUGUCACCUUAGGUCGAUCGGUAUCUCACGUUCUUAAUUAAUUAAGAAUUUCAUUUCCUAAGUUUUUCUAGGUCACACCCAUUAUUUUUUCCUGGGCCAUUAGCUCAGGUGGUUAGAGCGCACCCCUGAUAAGGGUGAGGUCCCUGGUUCAAGUCCAGGAUGGCCCAUAUCUCUAUGUUGGGGGUAUAGCUCAGUUGGUAGAGCGCCUGCUUUGCAAGCAGGAUGUCAGCGGUUCGAGUCCGCUUACCUCCACUGAUUACCACCUCUUCCAUAAUCUGUAGAAGGGAAAUGUUUUGAGUUGUGAUCAAAUUCUGAACGAAUCUAGCUUCCUAAUAAAAGUAUUAAGAUGCUGGACUCAUUGAAUUAAUUUCAUUGUUUUCAGAGAACCUUGACAACUGCAUAGAUUAUUUAAUUAAAGACAAUAAGCAUCUUUAAUGAUGCAGAUUUAUUAUUUGUGCGAAAGCAUUAAUAACAAUUCUAUUAAGCUGAUGCUUCAA